This 429-nucleotide ribosomal RNA is filed under the name Chloroflexota bacterium. Its description in RNAcentral is "Chloroflexi bacterium partial 16S ribosomal RNA". It matches the Rfam family "Bacterial small subunit ribosomal RNA", at positions 355 to 776 of the family's 1533-position model. The record is from RNAcentral. Lineage: Bacteria; Bacillati; Chloroflexota.
UAGGGAAUCUUCGGCAAUGGACGAAAGUCUGACCGAGCAACGCCGCGUGAGUGAAGAAGGUUUUCGGAUCGUAAAACUCUGUUGUUAGAGAAGAACAAGGACGUUAGUAACUGAACGUCCCCUGACGGUAUCUAACCAGAAAGCCACGGCUAACUACGUGCCAGCAGCCGCGGUAAUACGUAGGUGGCAAGCGUUGUCCGGAUUUAUUGGGCGUAAAGCGAGCGCAGGCGGUUUCUUAAGUCUGAUGUGAAAGCCCCCGGCUCAACCGGGGAGGGUCAUUGGAAACUGGGAGACUUGAGUGCAGAAGAGGAGAGUGGAAUUCCAUGUGUAGCGGUGAAAUGCGUAGAUAUAUGGAGGAACGCCAGUGGCGAAGGCGGUGCGCUGGUCUGUAACUGACGCUGAGGCUCGAAAGCGUGGGGAGCAAACAGG